This 253-nucleotide ribosomal RNA is filed under the name uncultured bacterium. Its description in RNAcentral is "partial 16S ribosomal RNA". It matches the Rfam family "Bacterial small subunit ribosomal RNA", at positions 524 to 776 of the family's 1533-position model. The record is from RNAcentral.
UACGUAGGGUGCGAGCGUUAAUCGGAAUUACUGGGCGUAAAGCGUGCGCAGGCGGCUUUGCAAGACAGAUGUGAAAUCCCCGGGCUUAACCUGGGAACUGCAUUUGUGACUGCAAGGCUAGAGUACGGUAGAGGGGGAUGGAAUUCCGCGUGUAGCAGUGAAAUGCGUAGAUAUGCGGAGGAACACCGAUGGCGAAGGCAAUCCCCUGGACCUGUACUGACGCUCAUGCACGAAAGCGUGGGGAGCAAACGGG